UACAGAGGGUGCGAGCGUUGUCCGGAAUCACUGGGCGUAAAGGGCGCGUAGGUGGCGCCGCAAGUCCAUGGUGAAAGCUUGAUGCUCAACAUCGAGUCGGCCACGGAGACUGCGGGGCUCGAGCACUGUAGGGGCAGAUGGAAUUCCGGGUGUAGCGGUGGAAUGCGUAGAGAUCCGGAAGAACACCGGUGGCGAAGGCGGUCUGCUGGGCAGUUGCUGACACUGAGGCGCGACAGCGUGGGGAGCAAACAGG
This 253-nucleotide ribosomal RNA is filed under the name uncultured bacterium. RNAcentral describes it as "partial 16S ribosomal RNA". It matches the Rfam family "Bacterial small subunit ribosomal RNA", at positions 524 to 776 of the family's 1533-position model. The record is from RNAcentral.